GUGGGGAAUAUUCCGCAAUGGACGAAAGUCUGACGGAGCAACGCCGCGUGAGUGAUGAAGGUUUUCGGACUGUAAAGCUCUGUUGUUUAGGACGAAAGUGCCUGUUGCAAAUAGUUACAGGUAUUGACGGUACUGAACGAGGAAGCCACGGCUAACUACGUGCCAGCAGCCGCGGUAAUACGUAGGUGGCAAGCGUUGUCCGGAAUUAUUGGGCGUAAAGAGCAUGUAGGCGGGAAUCUAAGUCUGUUGUGAAAAUGCGGGGCUCAACCCCGUAUUGCGAUGGAAACUGGGUUGCUUGAGUGCAGGAGAGGAAAGGGGAAUUCCCAGUGUAGCGGUGAAAUGCGUAGAUAUUGGGAGGAACACCAGUGGCGAAGGCGCCUUUCUGGACUGUGUCUGACGCUGAGAUGCGAAAGCCAGGGUAGCGAACGGGAUUAGAAACCCUGGUAGUCC
This 450-nucleotide ribosomal RNA is filed under the name uncultured bacterium. Its description in RNAcentral is "partial 16S ribosomal RNA". It matches the Rfam family "Bacterial small subunit ribosomal RNA", at positions 354 to 796 of the family's 1533-position model. The record is from RNAcentral.